Prinia subflava (tawny-flanked prinia) is the source of this 5546-nucleotide long non-coding RNA. RefSeq lists it as uncharacterized. The transcript is spliced from 2 exons. Lineage: Eukaryota; Metazoa; Chordata; Aves; Passeriformes; Cisticolidae. The record is from RefSeq and is a predicted model, not a curated record.
UAUCUGUAAUAUGGAGAAACAAAAAGGGUUAAAAGGGGUGGGUGGCAAUGCCUCCAUCCCAAGAACUUCUCCUUUGGGUUGCUUAUUGGCACAUUGGAAAGAAGAGAAUUUUGGUCAAGAAUUACAGAAAAAGUGAUUGAUUAUUGUAAUGUACAGUGGUCAAACUACCUGCGGGACAAACUGGUUUUGUUAGAAGAAUGCUGUCUGAAAGGAGUGACGCUUGAAAAUAAUAAGUGCCUGGCUUUUGUCCAAGAGAAACAUUGUAUGCAACAUGUGAUUUUAAGUGCAGCUUUGGGGGGAAGAGGAGAUGGACUGGACCUAGAUUUGUUAGUGGCAUCUACGGCCCCCUUGACACUGAAUUCUAUCCUGCUCACCUUGACCCCACCUGAUUGCCAAUAUAUUUCUCCCCCACCUUUGUUUGCUGAAGGAAAUUAUCCUCCUUUGCCUAGGCCUGCUCUUCCUCUGCCUAUUAAGGGAAAUCCCCCUUCUCUAGAAAUACCUGCUAAAAGCUAUCCUGCCCCCCCUGCCGAUGCCUGCUCAAAGAUUUAUUCCUCCUCCAACAGUGGCUCAAGGGUACCCUCCCCUCCCACCUACACCUUCUCCGCGGGCUUCCGUUCCCUCUGCCCCCCUUGUACCCUCCUCUGCCAGAUUCGCCUGUUCCUCCUGUCCCAGGUAACAAUCAGGAAACAAGAGCAAAGUCUUUUUGCAGUUCUACAAAGACAGGAGCAAAGACGUGGUAGAACCAGUCGGGGCAGUAAUAGACGUGGUUUUGGCAGAGGUCCUGGUCAUAGAGGGCUAGGAAUAAAUCAAUGUUUUGUAAAAUAGAGGGACAUUGGAAAAAAAAAAGAGUGUCUGAGCCAAUUUAGUUAGAAUGGUCAGCCUCAGUUAGACAGCAUGUUUAGCCAGAGUGGUGAGCCCCAGAUGGAAGGUGUAACCAGGGUCAUGGUUUUACAUGAGAGAGAGACAGAAUCAAGAGAGCCAAUGGUGACUUUGCAUUUAGAAGGGAAAGACAUAGGUUUUCUCAUUGACACAGGGGCAACACAUUCUGUAUUAAAUUAUCUUGAGGGGCAAGUUGGGAACAGGUUAGCAGCAGUCAUUGGAGCCACAGGGAAGGAGGAGAUACGGCCAUUGCUGCAACCCCUAGAAUUGAGCUUUGAAGAUAAGAUCUUGACCCAUGAAUUCUUAUACAUGUCCGAUUGUCCAACUCCACUCUUAGGGCGUGAUCUACUGGCAGCACUGGAGGCAGUAAUUACUUUUGAGAAUGGUGAACUUGUAAUGAGAAUACCUGAGUCUAACACAGGAAAGAUUUUGAUGAUAAAAGAAAAACCAAUUUCUAAUAUUCCUAAAAAAGUAGAGGAUGCAGUAAUUCCCUCUGUGUGGGAAACAGAUGUACCUGGAAAAUCUAAGAUACUACAACCGGUACAUGUAGAAUUAAAAGAAGGAGCAAAGGCUGUACAAAUCAAACAGUAACCUAUAAAACCGACAGGGAAUAGCAAAGACCAUUGUUAAGUUCUUAAAAUAUCAAAUUCUAGAAGAUUGUGAGUCAGAAUACAAUACCCAAAUAUUCCCAGUAAAGAAACCGAAUGGUGAGUAUAGACUCAUACAGGAUUUAGGAGGCAUAAAUGAAAUAACCAAAGACAUUCAUCCAGUGGUUGCCAAUCCUUAUACAUUGUUAUAUACAUAGCAAUCCGUAAAAGAGAUCUAUAAACGGUUUACUGUAACUGACUUAAACCAUGCCUUCUUCUGCAUACCCCUUGACCGAGAAAGUAGGAAACUAUUUGCCUUUGAGUGGGAACAGCCAGAAAAUGGAAGAAAGACCCAGCUCACCUGGACCCGAUUACUGAUGAGGUACAAGAAUUCUCAGACCCUAUUUGGGAGUCAGCUGGCAAAGGACCUGGAAAUCUGGACCAGAGAAGGGCAAGUACCAAGAGACCAAUAUCUAAUUACUCCAGUAUGUAGAUGACACUGUGAUUGAAACCGAGGAAGAAGUGACCUGCAUAGAGGUAACCACUCAGAUUUUAAAAUUCAUUAGGAAUGGGAGGGUAUAAGGUGUCGAGAGAAAAAGCACAAAUUGCCCAACAGACUGUGAUUUACCUGGGAUGUAAAACCUCACAAGGGCAGAGAAAACUGGGUACUAAUUGUAUUCAAGCUAUCUGUGCUAUUCCAGAGCUCCAGAAUCUACACGAGCUGCGGAUCUUCCUUGGAAUGACAGGGUGGUGUCGCCUGUGGAUCAUGGACUAUGGACUGAUCACAAAACCCUUGUAUGAGGCUCAGGAGACACAGCUGUUCACCCGGGGCAAACCACAGAAAGAGGCCUUCCAGAAGUUAAAGGAAGCAUUGACAACUGCUCCUGCUUUGGGGUUACCUGAUCUGUCUAAAGACUUUCAGCUGCAUGUGCAUGAAAGGCAGCGACUGGCACUGGGAGUCCUGACCCAACGACUGGGAAGCUGGAAAAGGCCAGUGGGUUACUUUUCCAAACAACUCGACAACGUAAGUGCUGGGUAGCCUUCCUGUCUGCGGGCAGUGGCAGCUACCGUGCUGCUGAUACAGGAAGCCAGGAAGCUCACAAUGGGAAGACACAUAGAUGUCUAUGUGCCACACAUGGUAACUACAGUCCUGGAACAAAAGGGGGGCCAUUGGCUCUCUCCAAGCCAGAUGAUGAAGUUUCAGGUAACCCUGACUGAGCAGGAUGACGUUGCACUAAAAACAACUAAUCUCUUGAAUCCAGCUCUGUUUCUAGGUACCACAGCUGAGGAAGGUCUAUUAAAGCAUGACUGUGUAGAAGUAAUCGAGCACACCUUUUCAGCAAGAACAGACCUGAAAGACAUCCCCCUAGAGCAACCAGAGUGGGAACUCUUUACAGAUGGAAGCACCUUCAUGGAGAAUGGAACCAGAUACGCAGGAUAUAUGGUAGCCACGAUUGAUGUAGUAGUAGAGGCAAAAGCACUACCACCUAAUACAUCUGCCCAGAGGGCAGAACUAAUCGCACUAACCAGAGCACUAGAGCUGAGUGAGGGAAAGACAGUAAAUAUACGGACUUACUCCAAAUAUGCCUUCGGAGUAGUGCAUGUACACAGAGCUUUAUGGAAAGAAAGGGGACUGCUGUCCUCCCAAGGUACACAUAUUAAACAUCAAGAUGCAGUCCUACAACUGAUAGAUGCAGUACAAAAACCUGAACAAGUAGCAAUCAUGCACUGCCAAACACAUCAAUCAGGCAACUCCAAAAUUUGUGAAGGAAAUCGAAGAGCAGAUUGGGCAACCUGCCAGGUAUCGCGAGACAUACAGAAAACAAUGGCAUUGAUACCGUCAAGACUUAAUAUCUCCCAAUUCAAUUUGCCUCCUAAGCCAAAAUAUACAAUAGAAGAUGUAUAGACAAGCUAGCACAUCUGCUGAAGGCACAGAAGAACACAGAAGGGUGGAAAACUCUCGCUCGGCUUCGAAGUGUCCUUGUGUGGAACAGACCACUGGCCCUGGAGAAUCCAGUCCACAAUAUCGAACCAGGAGAUGAAGUAUACAUCAGAACCUGGAACGAAGAACCACUGAAAGAGAAGUGGACUGGUCCUCAUCAGGUACUGCUAACCACCUUUACAGCAGUCAAAGUGGCUGGAGUGGAACCCUGGAUACACUACAUGCGUGUGAAGAAGGUCUUUCGUGAAGCCCAGUCGUUGGCUGCAGAAACUAUAGAACCAACAAAGCUGAGGCUAAAACAUCUGUAACUGCUCAAAUGGUAUUGGUAACUGUGCUCAUGCUCUUCCUGUGGGUAAUGUUACUUUCAUGGAUACUAAUGUCACCAGUGGGGAUUGCUGUUACUUUGGGAUAUGGAAUACAGAAGGGUCAACUAACCACUCUUCAUUCUAGAAUGAAGAAAGAGGUACAAGCAAAGACACAAGUAAUAGAAGUCUCUAAUACAAUUUGGGCUGAAAAUGUAAUGAUUGGAUUGGUCAGAGACUUUGCCAAAAUGCAGAAUACCAGGAGAAUAACAGCCUGUCUGCCAAUACCAAAGGCAGCAGGGGACCCAAUAAGCUGGGGAAUAAAUAAUGUCAAAAUUACCUGACAUAGGAGGGAACAAAACAGUCAAAUGUAAACAAGUACCACAGUCAAGAGUGGUAGUCAAAGAGUACUGGAAGCUAACAGAGAGAGCCUAUAUGCAACCUAUGAGAAAAUCAGAUUGUACUCUUAGUAAUGGCAAAUUAGGAGAAAUCGUAGAGUGGUGGGUUAAGGACCAACACCUUGCAAAAUGGGAAUGUUGGUUGGCACGCUGUCAAAAGAUCAGGGAAAACGCUACAGAGAGCAUUGUGGUGUGGAAGUGUGAAGAAAAGGAUUGGAAAGAAUUAGAACUCUGGGACAAUGCAUGGUCUAUGAGUACCCUCCAGAAAUUCCAAUAUAUGACAAGCACACCUUGAUGCAUUAAAUGGAAAGGCUCUGAAAAUGACACAGAUCCCACGGUGACAAGUACUGGUACUAGCAGUCAGAAAGAGGCAAAUAAAGUAGGUUGGUGAGUAUGUAAUAAAAUUUAUGAAUGCACCUCUGAUGAUGUGGAAAUAAAACAGUGGUCACCAUUGGCAGUAGCCUUAUGAAUCGGUUGUGCUUGCAGGAAGAUUAGACACAAACAAGGCAAAAUAGAUUCCAAGAUUAUAGUAGGAUGUAGCAGGAGUACAAUCUGAAGUCCAGGACCAUUUGUAUGGGCAAUGAGAGAUGGCACAUGGACAACACACUUGCCUAUGGACGGGGAGGUAAGAGAAAUCACCCCGGGCCUUCCCACUUUAUGCCCAAUUUGAAAGAAGUCCCCAUUUAACGGGAGCCAUGAGCCCUUGCAGAUAAGAGCAAAACGAGAUGUCCCAGGAGACAAAAACCCAGAUGACACUUGGCAGGAACCCUCUAGUGGAGUAAAAAUUGGGUGGGCCCUAGAGUCUUUGUUUGGUCCAGCUGCAAAUUAUCGAAAUAGAAAAAUGCUAUAUAGACUCACAGGUCAGGUAGAUAGAUUAGCAAGAAUCACACAAGAAGGAUUUAAGGAACUCAACAUGCAAUUACAAGCCACCACCAAAAUGACUUUACAAAAUCAAUUGGAUUUAGAUAUGUUACUCAUGAAAGAACAUGGAGUGUGUGGAUAUCUAAAAGGACAAAUUGACCAUUGCUGUAUCCACAUCCCAAAUGUAACUGCAGAUGUAGAACAUGAUAUCAGCCAGUUGAAACAGAUAGAGCAUGAGGCACAAGAAGAACGAAAACAUUUAGCUAUCAGCUGGUUAGACAAAAUCUUUAAAGGAUUAGGAUGGAAUGUGAGUUCAUGGAUAAAGUCUAUCCUUGAAAGUUGGAUCAUUUUACUAAUUAUAUUUUUAGCAAUUUGGUUAGUUUACAGAAUCCUGAAGAGAGAGAUACAGAAAAAGGCAUCUUGGAACAGAACCAUAAUGAAGGCAUUGGCAUGGAAUCCAUAUCCAGCGCCUUUGAUCCGCAACAACAUCCGGGACAAAGCCCAUGACAACCGAGGAUUUGAAGAUGAACAUCCAGUAUAAACUUUGAAGCCAAAUGGACCGUAUUCAGUGAAAGCA